CUGGGGGGGGAGGGAUCCCUCAGCCCAGAUUGCGAGAGGCUGCAGGCCAGGCCAAGGGACCCCACCAGUGCACA
This 74-nucleotide microRNA precursor is filed under the name Myotis davidii. RNAcentral describes it as "mir-9193 microRNA precursor family". It matches the Rfam family "mir-9193 microRNA precursor family". Lineage: Eukaryota; Metazoa; Chordata; Mammalia; Chiroptera; Vespertilionidae. The record is from Rfam by way of RNAcentral.